GCAAGUUGAAGCACAGGCUGGAAAAAAGCACACCGCCUGUAGCUGAAAACCUGUUGAAGGUAAUAAUAAACUUUCUCACUGGUGAACAUCAGAGAAAUCCCAGGAGUUCCUGAAUUUGUCACAGGGCUGUUCUUGCCUUCCCAUGAAAUUCCACUCUUCCCCUGGGUAAGCUGAUGCUGUUGUUUAGUUCUGGGGAGGUGAAAAAAGAUCCCUCUGCUGUGCUGGGGUCACC
Molecule: long non-coding RNA, 232 nt
Filed under: Zonotrichia albicollis (white-throated sparrow)
Lineage: Eukaryota; Metazoa; Chordata; Aves; Passeriformes; Passerellidae
Description: lncRNA (ENSZALG00000008579.1)
Source: RNAcentral